UUAAGCGACUAAGCGUACACGGUGGAUGCCCUGGCAGUCAGAGGCGAUGAAGGACGUGCUAAUCUGCGAUAAGCGUCGGUAAGGUGAUAUGAACCGUUAUAACCGGCGAUUUCCGAAUGGGGAAACCCAGUGUGUUUCGACACACUAUCAUUAACUGAAUCCAUAGGUUAAUGAGGCGAACCGGGGGAACUGAAACAUCUAAGUACCCCGAGGAAAAGAAAUCAACCGAGAUUCCCCCAGUAGCGGCGAGCGAACGGGGAGCAGCCCAGAGCCUGAAUCAGUGUGUGUGUUAGUGGAAGCGUCUGGAAAGGCGCGCGAUACAGGGUGACAGCCCCGUACACAAAAAUGCACAUGCUGUGAGCUCGAUGAGUAGGGCGGGACACGUGGUAUCCUGUCUGAAUAUGGGGGGACCAUCCUCCAAGGCUAAAUACUCCUGACUGACCGAUAGUGAACCAGUACCGUGAGGGAAAGGCGAAAAGAACCCCGGCGAGGGGAGUGAAAAAGAACCUGAAACCGUGUACGUACAAGCAGUGGGAGCACGCUUAGGCGUGUGACUGCGUACCUUUUGUAUAAUGGGUCAGCGACUUAUAUUCUGUAGCAAGGUUAACCGAAUAGGGGAGCCGAAGGGAAACCGAGUCUUAACUGGGCGUUAAGUUGCAGGGUAUAGACCCGAAACCCGGUGAUCUAGCCAUGGGCAGGUUGAAGGUUGGGUAACACUAACUGGAGGACCGAACCGACUAAUGUUGAAAAAUUAGCGGAUGACUUGUGGCUGGGGGUGAAAGGCCAAUCAAACCGGGAGAUAGCUGGUUCUCCCCGAAAGCUAUUUAGGUAGCGCCUCGUGAAUUCAUCUCCGGGGGUAGAGCACUGUUUCGGCAAGGGGGUCAUCCCGACUUACCAACCCGAUGCAAACUGCGAAUACCGGAGAAUGUUAUCACGGGAGACACACGGCGGGUGCUAACGUCCGUCGUGAAGAGGGAAACAACCCAGACCGCCAGCUAAGGUCCCAAAGUCAUGGUUAAGUGGGAAACGAUGUGGGAAGGCCCAGACAGCCAGGAUGUUGGCUUAGAAGCAGCCAUCAUUUAAAGAAAGCGUAAUAGCUCACUGGUCGAGUCGGCCUGCGCGGAAGAUGUAACGGGGCUAAACCAUGCACCGAAGCUGCGGCAGCGACGCUUAUGCGUUGUUGGGUAGGGGAGCGUUCUGUAAGCCUGCGAAGGUGUGCUGUGAGGCAUGCUGGAGGUAUCAGAAGUGCGAAUGCUGACAUAAGUAACGAUAAAGCGGGUGAAAAGCCCGCUCGCCGGAAGACCAAGGGUUCCUGUCCAACGUUAAUCGGGGCAGGGUGAGUCGACCCCUAAGGCGAGGCCGAAAGGCGUAGUCGAUGGGAAACAGGUUAAUAUUCCUGUACUUGGUGUUACUGCGAAGGGGGGACGGAGAAGGCUAUGUUGGCCGGGCGACGGUUGUCCCGGUUUAAGCGUGUAGGCUGGUUUUCCAGGCAAAUCCGGAAAAUCAAGGCUGAGGCGUGAUGACGAGGCACUACGGUGCUGAAGCAACAAAUGCCCUGCUUCCAGGAAAAGCCUCUAAGCAUCAGGUAACAUCAAAUCGUACCCCAAACCGACACAGGUGGUCAGGUAGAGAAUACCAAGGCGCUUGAGAGAACUCGGGUGAAGGAACUAGGCAAAAUGGUGCCGUAACUUCGGGAGAAGGCACGCUGAUAUGUAGGUGAAGCGACUUGCUCGUGGAGCUGAAAUCAGUCGAAGAUACCAGCUGGCUGCAACUGUUUAUUAAAAACACAGCACUGUGCAAACACGAAAGUGGACGUAUACGGUGUGACGCCUGCCCGGUGCCGGAAGGUUAAUUGAUGGGGUUAGCGCAAGCGAAGCUCUUGAUCGAAGCCCCGGUAAACGGCGGCCGUAACAAUAACGGUCCUAAGGUAGCGAAAUUCCUUGUCGGGUAAGUUCCGACCUUGCACGAAUGGCGUAACGAUCUCCCCACUGUCUCCAACGCAGACUCAGCGAAAUUGAAUUCCCCGUGAAGAUGCGGGGUUCCCGCGGUCAGACGGAAAGACCCCGUGCACCUUUACUAUAGCUUCGCAGUGGUAUCAGGAUGCAAAUGUGUAGGAUAGGUGGGAGUCUAUGAAGUCGGGACGUCAGUUCCGGUGGAGACAUCCUUGAAAUACCACCCUUUUGUAUUCUGUUAUCUAACCGUGGUCCGUUAUCCGGAUCCGGGACCCUGCGUGGUGGGUAGUUUGACUGGGGCGGUCUCCUCCUAAAGAGUAACGGAGGAGCACGAAGGUUGGCUAAUCCUGGUCGGACAUCAGGAGGUUAGUGCAAUGGCAUAAGCCAGCUUGACUGCGAGCGUGACGGCGCGAGCAGGUGCGAAAGCAGGUCAUAGUGAUCCGGUGGUUCUGAAUGGAAGGGCCAUCGCUCAACGGAUAAAAGGUACGCCGGGGAUAACAGGCUGAUACCCCCCAAGAGUUCACAUCGACGGGGGUGUUUGGCACCUCGAUGUCGGCUCAUCACAUCCUGGGGCUGAAGUAGGUCCCAAGGGUAUGGCUGUUCGCCAUUUAAAGUGGUACGCGAGCUGGGUUUAGAACGUCGUGAGACAGUUCGGUCCCUAUCUGCCGUGGGCGCUGGAGAACUGAGGGGGGCUGCUCCUAGUACGAGAGGACCGGAGUGGACGCAUCACUGGUGUUCGGGUUGUCAUGCCAAUGGCACUGCCCGGUAGCUAAAUGCGGAAGAGAUAAGUGCUGAAAGCAUCUAAGCACGAAACUUGCCCCGAGAUGAGUUCUCCCUGACUCCUUGAGAGUCCUGAAGGAACGUUGAAGACGACGACGUUGAUAGGCCGGGUGUGUAAGCGCAGCGAUGCGUUGAGCUAACCGGUACUAAUGAACCGUGAGGCUUAACCUU
Molecule: ribosomal RNA, 2903 nt
Filed under: Craterolophus convolvulus
Lineage: Eukaryota; Metazoa; Cnidaria; Staurozoa; Stauromedusae; Craterolophidae
Description: bacterial LSU rRNA
Rfam family: Bacterial large subunit ribosomal RNA
Source: RNAcentral